GUGCUCGCUUUGGCAAGCACAUACACUAAAACUGGAAGAAUACAGAGAAAGUUAGCACGCCCCUGAGUAAGGAUGACAUGCAAAUUCGUGACUUGUUCCAUAUUAAA
Sorex fumeus (smoky shrew) is the source of this 107-nucleotide small nuclear RNA. Lineage: Eukaryota; Metazoa; Chordata; Mammalia; Eulipotyphla; Soricidae. The record is from RefSeq and is a predicted model, not a curated record.